AUUGAACGCUGGCGGCAGGCCUAACACAUGCAAGUCGAACGGUAACAGGAAGCAGCUUGCUGCUUUGCUGACGAGUGGCGGACGGGAGAGUAAUGUCUGUGAAACUGCGCGAUGGAUGGGGAUAACUACUGGAAACGGUAGCUAAUACCGCAUAACGUCGCAAGACCAAGGAGGGGGACCUUAGGGGCUCUUGCCAUCGGAUGUGCCCAGAUGGGAUUAGCUAGUAGGUGGGGUAACGGCUCACCUAGGCGACGAUCCCUAACUGGUCUGAGAGGAUGACCAGGCACACUGGAACUGAGACACGGUCCAGACUCCUACGGGAGGCAGCAGUGGGGAAUAUUGCACAAUGGGCGCAAGCCUGAUGCAGCCAUGCCGCGUGUAUGAAGAAGGCCUUCGGGUUGUAAAGUACUUUCAGCUGGGAGGAAGGGAGUAAAGUUAAUACCUUGGCUCAUUGACGUUACCCGCAGAAGAAGCACCGGCUAACUCCGUG
Molecule: ribosomal RNA, 490 nt
Filed under: uncultured bacterium
Lineage: Bacteria
Description: partial 16S ribosomal RNA
Rfam family: Bacterial small subunit ribosomal RNA
Source: RNAcentral